RNAcentral lists this ribosomal RNA (497 nucleotides) under uncultured bacterium. RNAcentral describes it as "partial 16S ribosomal RNA". It matches the Rfam family "Bacterial small subunit ribosomal RNA", at positions 28 to 507 of the family's 1533-position model. The record is from RNAcentral.
GAUGAACGCUGGCGGCGUGCCUAAUACAUGCAAGUCGAGCGAACAGACGAGGAGCUUGCUCCUCUGACGUUAGCGGCGGACGGGUGAGUAACACGUGGAUAACCUACCUAUAAGACUGGGAUAACUUCGGGAAACCGGAGCUAAUACCGGAUAAUAUAUUGAACCGCAUGGUUCAAAAGUGAAAGACGGUUUUGCUGUCACUUAUAGAUGGAUCCGCGCCGCAUUAGCUAGUUGGUAAGGUAACGGCUUACCAAGGCAACGAUGCGUAGCCGACCUGAGAGGGUGAUCGGCCACACUGGAACUGAGACACGGUCCAGACUCCUACGGGAGGCAGCAGUAGGGAAUCUUCCGCAAUGGGCGAAAGCCUGACGGAGCAACGCCACGUGAGUGAUGAAGGUCUUCGGAUCGUAAAACUCUGUUAUUAGGGAAGAACAAAUGUGUAAGUAACUAUGCACGUCUUGACGGUACCUAAUCAGAAAGCCACGGCUAACUACGUG